Molecule: ribosomal RNA, 429 nt
Filed under: Gemmatimonadota bacterium
Lineage: Bacteria; Pseudomonadati; Gemmatimonadota
Description: Gemmatimonadetes bacterium partial 16S ribosomal RNA
Rfam family: Bacterial small subunit ribosomal RNA
Source: RNAcentral
UAGGGAAUCUUCGGCAAUGGACGAAAGUCUGACCGAGCAACGCCGCGUGAGUGAAGAAGGUUUUCGGAUCGUAAAACUCUGUUGUUAGAGAAGAACAAGGACGUUAGUAACUGAACGUCCCCUGACGGUAUCUAACCAGAAAGCCACUGCUAACUACGUGCCAGCAGCCGCGGUAAUACGUAGGUGGCAAGCGUUGUCCGGAUUUAUUGGGCGUAAAGCGAGCGCAGGCGGUUUCUUAAGUCUGAUGUGAAAGCCCCCGGCUCAACCGGGGAGGGUCAUUGGAAACUGGGAGACUUGAGUGCAGAAGAGGAGAGUGGAAUUCCAUGUGUAGCGGUGAAAUGCGUAGAUAUAUGGAGGAACACCAGUGGCGAAGGCGGCUCUCUGGUCUGUAACUGACGAUGAGGCUCGAAAGCGUGGGGAGCAAACAGG